UACGUAGGGUGCGAGCGUUGUCCGGAAUUAUUGGGCGUAAAGGGCUCGUAGGCGGUUUGUCGCGUCGGGAGUGAAAACUCAGGGCUUAACCCUGAGCCUGCUUCCGAUACGGGCAGACUAGAGGUAUGCAGGGGAGAACGGAAUUCCUGGUGUAGCGGUGAAAUGCGGCAGAAUAUCAGGAGGAACACCGGUGGCGAAGGCGGGACUCCGUGGGCCGAUGACUGACGCUGGAGG
This 234-nucleotide ribosomal RNA is filed under the name uncultured bacterium. RNAcentral describes it as "partial 16S ribosomal RNA". It matches the Rfam family "Bacterial small subunit ribosomal RNA", at positions 524 to 752 of the family's 1533-position model. The record is from RNAcentral.